Molecule: ribosomal RNA, 883 nt
Filed under: uncultured bacterium
Lineage: Bacteria
Description: bacterial SSU rRNA
Rfam family: Bacterial small subunit ribosomal RNA
Source: RNAcentral
AGAGUUUGAUCCUGGCUCAGGAUGAAUGCUGGCGGCGUGCCUUAAGCAUGCAAGUCGAACGGGUUCCGCAAGGAAUCAGUGGCAGACGGGUGAGUAACGCGUAGGAAUCUACCCCUGGGUGGGGCAUAGCUAGCCGAAAGGUUAGAUAAUUCCCCAUAGUUCCCGAUUUUAUCGGGAUAAAGGUCUUAACUGGCCGCCGAGGGAUGAGCCUGCGUCCUAUCAGCUAGUUGGUGGGGUAAAAGCCUACCAAGGCGAUGACGGGUAGCUGGACUGAGAGGUCGAUCAGCCACAACUGCACUGAGACACGGGCAGUACACCUACGGGUGGCAGCAACUAGGAAUAUUGGGCAAUGGACGAAACUCUGACCCAGCGACGCCGCGUGAGGGAUGAAGGCCUUCGGGUUGUAAACCUCUUUCAGUAGGGAAGAAGCGAAAGUGACGGUACCUACAGAAGAAGCACCGGCUAACUAUGUGCCAGCAGCCGCGGUAAUACAUAGGGUGCAAGCGUUGUCCGGAAUUAUUGGGCGUAAAGAGCUCGUAGGUGGUUCGAUACGUCGGAUGUGAAAAUCAGGGGCUCAACCCCUGACCUGCAUCCGAUACGGUCGAGCUAGAGUUUGGUAGGGGAGACUGGAAUUCCUGGUGUAGCGGUGGAAUGCGCAGAUAUCAGGAGGAACACCGAUGGCGAAGGCAGGUCUCUGGGCCAAUACUGACACUGAGGAGCGAAAGCGUGGGGAGCGAACAGGAUUAGAUACCCUGGUAGUCCACGCCGUAAACGGUGGGCGCUAGUUGUGCGAACCUUCCACGGUUUGUGCGACGCAGCUAACGCAUUAAGCGCCCCGCCUGGGGAGUACGAUCGCAAGAUUAAAACUCAAAGGAAUUGACGG